UACGUAGGUGGCAAGCGUUGUCCGGAAUUAUUGGGCGUAAAGCGCGCGCAGGCGGUUUCUUAAGUCUGAUGUGAAAGCCCACGGCUCAACCGUGGAGGGUCAUUGGAAACUGGGAAACUUGAGUGCAGGAGAGAAGAGUGGAAUUCCACGUGUAGCGGUGAAAUGCGUAGAGAUGUGGAGGAACACCAGUGGCGAAGGCGGCUCACUGGCUCGUAUCUGACGCUCAGGCGCGACAGCGUGGGGAUCAAACAGG
RNAcentral lists this ribosomal RNA (253 nucleotides) under uncultured bacterium. RNAcentral describes it as "partial 16S ribosomal RNA". It matches the Rfam family "Bacterial small subunit ribosomal RNA", at positions 524 to 776 of the family's 1533-position model. The record is from RNAcentral.